UAAUACGGGGGGUGCAAGCGUUAAUCGGAGUUAUUGGGCGUAAAGGGUUCGUAGGUUGUUUAUUAAGUUAUGUGGGAAAUACCUGGGCUUAACCUAGGAAUGUCGGAUAAUACUGGUAAACUUGAGUAUAGUAGAGGGUAGUGGAAUUUCCGGUGUAGCGGUGAAAUGCGUAGAGAUCGGAAGGAACACCAGUGGCGAAGGCGGCUACCUGGACUAAUACUGACACUGAGGAACGAAAGCGUGGGUAGCAAACAGGAUUAGAUACCCUGGUAGUCCACGCCGUAAACGAUGUCAACUAGCUGUUGGGUAAAUAAAUUUACUUAGUGGCGCAGCUAACGCGAUAAGUUGACCGCCUGGGGAGUACGGUCGCAAGAUUA
This 377-nucleotide ribosomal RNA is filed under the name uncultured Gammaproteobacteria bacterium. Its description in RNAcentral is "bacterial SSU rRNA". It matches the Rfam family "Bacterial small subunit ribosomal RNA", at positions 521 to 896 of the family's 1533-position model. The record is from RNAcentral. Lineage: Bacteria; Pseudomonadati; Pseudomonadota; Gammaproteobacteria.